Molecule: ribosomal RNA, 253 nt
Filed under: uncultured bacterium
Lineage: Bacteria
Description: partial 16S ribosomal RNA
Rfam family: Bacterial small subunit ribosomal RNA
Source: RNAcentral
UACGUAGGGUGCAAGCGUUGUCCGGAAUUAUUGGGCGUAAAGAGCGUGUAGGCGGCCUCGUUAGUCCGCUGUGAAAGUCCAGGGCUCAACCCUGGAAUGCCGGUGGAUACUGCGAGGCUAGAGUCCGGAAGGGGCGAGUGGAACUCCUGGUGUAGCGGUGAAAUGCGCAGAUAUCAGGAAGAACACCAAUGGCGAAGGCAGCUCGCUGGGACGUGACUGACGCUGAGACGCGAAAGCGUGGGGAGCAAACAGG